RNAcentral lists this ribosomal RNA (479 nucleotides) under Desulfovibrio sp. canine oral taxon 070. RNAcentral's name for it is "bacterial SSU rRNA". It matches the Rfam family "Bacterial small subunit ribosomal RNA", at positions 9 to 472 of the family's 1533-position model. Lineage: Bacteria; Pseudomonadati; Thermodesulfobacteriota; Desulfovibrionia; Desulfovibrionales; Desulfovibrionaceae. The record is from RNAcentral.
GAGUUUGAUUCUGGCUCAGAUUGAACGCUGGCGGCGUGCUUAACACAUGCAAGUCGAACGUGAAAGGGGCCUCGGCCCCGAGUAAAGUGGCGCACGGGUGAGUAACGCGUGGACAAUCUGCCCUUAUGAGUGGGAUAACAGUUGGAAACGGCUGCUAAUACCGCAUACGCUCAGGAAUGACUUUUUGAGGAAAGGCGGCCUCUGCUUGCAAGCUGUCGCAUAAGGAUGAGUCCGCGUCCCAUUAGCUUGUUGGUGGGGUAACGGCCUACCAAGGCAACGAUGGGUAGCCGAUUUGAGAGGAUGAUCGGCCACACUGGAACUGAAACACGGUCCAGACUCCUACGGGAGGCAGCAGUGGGGAAUAUUGCGCAAUGGGCGAAAGCCUGACGCAGCGACGCCGCGUGAGGGAUGAAGGUUUUCGGAUCGUAAACCUCUGUCGGAAGGGAAGAAGGUGCACUCUGCCAAUCAGGGGUGUAUGA